Molecule: ribosomal RNA, 534 nt
Filed under: Triticum aestivum (bread wheat)
Lineage: Eukaryota; Viridiplantae; Streptophyta; Magnoliopsida; Poales; Poaceae
Description: partial small subunit ribosomal RNA
Source: RNAcentral
AUGUUCAUCUCUUUCAAAGAAGUAAAAGAAGCUGUUGUAGAUGAAGAUGAAGAACCUGAGAUUCAUUUGCCUAUUGUCAUACAAGAGCAUGAUGUGUCAGGUUCAUCCAAUCCUCUUAAUGACAUGUCCCAUUAUGUUUUGUUUGAUUCUACCUUGCUUUACAUGAUGCCAUCACUUAAGGUAGAUUUGAAGAAGUGUUUGCUUGGAUAUGAUGAUACAUAUACUGUUGGUGGCAUUGCUCGUAUUAAUGAUGAUCACACUUAUUUUUCUCAUGCCAAACCUAUGCUUAAGGAUAAAUAUCAUCUUAAUGCUAGUAUUGAGCUUGUUGAUUCCUAUCAUACUCGUCAUGUUCUAUAUUACUAUGCUUAUAUAAUUGGAUAUUCGAUUGACGACUUAGAGGGCAUCGACCCUAUCACUCGUAGUUGUUGUUUGUGUGAGUCCUAUUUCAGGUUUUUGCUUCUGCACCGUUCACUUCAUGUUAACCAGGUUCGAGGUGACAUUCCCUGGGACCCUGGUGGACUCGGAGCAUGGUGA